Molecule: ribosomal RNA, 468 nt
Filed under: uncultured bacterium
Lineage: Bacteria
Description: partial 16S ribosomal RNA
Rfam family: Bacterial small subunit ribosomal RNA
Source: RNAcentral
GACGAACGCUGGCGGCGUGCUUAACACAUGCAAGUCGAACGGAAAGGCCCUGCUUUUGUGCGGUGCUCGAGUGGCGAACGGGUGAGUAACACGUGAGUAACCUGCACUUGACUUUGGGAUAACUUCAGGCAACUGGGGCUCAUACCGGAUAGGAGUUCCUGCUGCAUGGUGGGGGUUGGAAAGUUUCGGCGGUUGGGGAUGGACUCGCGGCUUAUCAGCUUGUUGGUGGGGUAGUGGCUUACCAAGGCUUUGACGGGUAGCCGGCCUGAGAGGGUGACCGGCCACAUUGGGACUGAGAUACGGCCCAGACUCCUACGGGAGGCAGCAGUGGGGAAUAUUGCACAAUGGGCGGAAGCCUGAUGCAGCAACGCCGCGUGCGGGAUGACGGCCUUCGGGUUGUAAACCGCUUUCGCCUGUGACGAAGCGUGAGUGACGGUAAUGGGUAAAGAAGCACCGGCUAACUACGUG